UGCGUAGGCGGACUAAUAAGUCAGUGGUGAAAUCUCUCGGCUCAACCGGGAAACUGCCAUUGAUACUGUUAGUCUUGAGUUCGGUUGAGGUAGGCGGAAUGUGUAAUGUAGCGGUGAAAUGCUUAGAUAUUACACAGAACACCAAUUGCGUAGGCAGCUUACUAGACCGACACUGACGCUGAGGCACGAAAGCGUGGGUAGCGAACAGGAUUAGAGACCCGAGUAGUCC
This 229-nucleotide ribosomal RNA is filed under the name uncultured bacterium. Its description in RNAcentral is "partial 16S ribosomal RNA". It matches the Rfam family "Bacterial small subunit ribosomal RNA", at positions 568 to 796 of the family's 1533-position model. The record is from RNAcentral.